Long non-coding RNA from Amphimedon queenslandica, 202 nucleotides. RefSeq lists it as uncharacterized. NCBI's taxonomy places the organism in Eukaryota, Metazoa, Porifera, Demospongiae, Haplosclerida, Niphatidae. The record is from RefSeq and is a predicted model, not a curated record. The transcript is spliced from 4 exons.
GUUUGAAAAUGGGUAUGACAUUCCGGAUGAGAGGUAUGAGUUAUGGGUUCAGUUAUAUCGUCCUAAUAUGACAUCUCAAGAUUCAAAUGCUGAAGAUGAAGACCAAGAUUCCUUGAGUAAUGACACUGAUAAAGGAGAAGAGCUUUCAAUGAGUGCUGCAAACAGUAUAGAGACACAGACACAUACUGUCACAGCUAAUAAC